CACACACAAGCACACACACACACACACACAUGCACGCAUACACACACACACGAGUCGUUGCACAUUUAACUAUGUAUGCCUCAUAAACACACACACACACGCGCAUGCACACACACACACACACACGCAUGCAUGCAUAUACACACACACACACACACACACACACACACACACACGAGUCGUUGCACAUUUAACUAUGUAUGCUUCACAAACACACACACACACGCAAGCACACACACACGCAUACAUGCAUACACACACACACAAACACGAGUCGUUGCACAUUUAACUAUGUAUGCUUCAAAAAAACACACACACACACACACACGCGCAUACACGCAUGUAAAGAGUGCUCCAGUAGCAAAUACACGCUUUCGUUAAAAAAAAAAAACUGUACUUGAUAGUUUUUUUGGUUCAGUUUUAUACAAAAAUAAAGUUAGCUAUACUAGCCCCGCCCCUAUGGCUAACAUUUUAUCCAUCUAACAAUAACCCUAACCCUAGGUGUGAAUUGUUUGCCCAGCAGCCAGCUCAGACCCCUCCCCUUUCCCAUCGCCCUGCUCCCCAGCAGCUAAACACAGAGUCACGCUACUCUACACACGGAAACCCAACAGCGUCCUGACUCAUCUUCUAACCGACUUGCGUCGAUAAAAUAAUUCAUUUGUCGACCCCGAUCGGAAUCGAAAAUCAGAGCUGCCUUUCGAGCAAAUGAUGAUACACUUCUGACUUCUCUCUCAACACGGUAUUUCCUUUUCUGUUCCCUGCUCGAUCACGUCCACGAUUUCACGUCUGUCUGUUUAAAGCACGAAUAUCAUAAGCAGCCGUGCGACAUCGUCGUGAGGCGAUAAAGGUCAGCCAUCUUACAGCUUAAGUCGUAAUUAAAGCUGUAGACAUGAACACGAGAAUCCUUCGCCUUAACUCUCAGUGCUGUUUAAAAAUACAUAGCAAAGCCUACAAACAAAACAAAAAUGGAUCUGAACAUAAAGCGUUCGUUAUUCAUCCCGUCGUGGAGCCUGUUGUGUAAUUCCGGCACGCUAUCUGAUCCGACGUGACAGCUAGGCGCGAUGCGCCGCCGUUAUUUCGCACGCUCCGCCUGCGUUUUUGUAUUUUUAAUGAGUCUCCUAUUCCCACUGGACGUUUUCCGUGAUAACUUAAUAACCAGCCGUGCUCUAGUGACCCUAAAAGGGGCCCUUUGAAUAAAAAUGAGGUUCCUUAUCUCCUUUGUGUCUGCCUUUUUUCACUCUCUUCAUUAGGACGUACUUCUCUAUGACAACCUAAACAUUCCGAGCCUCAAUUGCUCUCGACCUGUCACAACACGCUCAAAAGAUCUCUCUCUCUCUCUCCCUCUCUCUCUCUCUUGCAAUGCUGAUAACAUCCUCCACACAAAUGAUUUCCUGUCUGUAAUAAAUCUCUAUUACGAUGAUAAUCCAAACCCGAUAUGGAGGGUUUUUCAUCACAUCAGCAUCUCUUUACAGCUUCCUGUUUUCAAAUAGCAUGAGAUAUAAAGAAUGAAACACUCUGUUCCGUGCUUUUAUAAACAAAACAAUCGACAGCAUCAUCAGCGCAUAGCUGUCGACUAAGGAAAGCAUCUGGACAUGUUUUAUAAUCCCAGUGCAUUUAGUGGCUGUUGAGGCAAGGGCUCCACAGAGAUAAAUAUCACCCUGAGACGAGUAAAUCAGUAUGCCUAAUAAAACGACCACUGUGUAUAUUCCAGAUGUGAAAGAAUUUAAACGGACUAUGCAGCCAAGAGAGAAAUCCACACUCUGCAACCUGUCUCAUGAUUUAAAAUCGACGUGUUUGCUUUUGCGUAACAAGGCUAACGUAGCGAACAAGUUAGCAACGCCACCAGUUUUAACGUUACACAAGCUGCCCGGUGAGAAAAAAAAAAGAAACACUGAGCGAAUAGUAAAUACAAAAAUAUCUUGACGCACAUGUACUGAGUAGAAUCUGCAGUUUCCUGGCUUGUUCUGUCAAAAGCCUGAGUGGGGACAUUUCCUGGAACAAGUGAGGAAUGCAAACACGGAAUAAAAUCACUUUCGGCUGCGGGUCUAUAAAUUAUCACUCGGUGUUGAGCGUUUUAACAGAGACAGUCUCUCAAACACAGCAGGCAGAGGGAAUUUACUGUUUCCCACACACACUCGUACACACACUUACGUACUGGUACACACAGUACUCGUACACGUUCCUGCACACUUACACACUCGUACACACUUGUACACACGGAUACACACUCGUACACACUUGUACACACGGAUACACACUCGUACAUACUGAUACACACUCGUACACACUCGUACACACUUGUACACAUGGAUACACACUCGUACACACUUGUACACACCCAUACACUCUUGUACAUACUGGUACACACUCACAACUCACAACUCACACAAAUGUGAUAAAGGCUCACAUGUGGCGCAACAGAAAAGCAUUCAGGAGUCAAGGGAGCCAAAUUUGCGUAUGUAUGCAGAAGAGGGCAGAUAGCGCUUUCCGCCGAGUGUGUUAUGCUGCCCAGUGAUGCAGCAUGAGCAGCUGUUCGAAAAGAUACGGACGUUGCCCCAGCCUUCCUAGAUGCUAGCUGUUGUGUUAUAGCCGAGAAUUACCUAGAACUAAUUACCUAGAAAGCGGCUGAUGAAUCACUGUUCAAACGCUAGCUACAGAACGAGCUGUUAUGUCUUUAUGGGCGUGGCCUAAUAUUCUAAUGAGCACACUUGACUGACCGCCAUCUGUCUACGCCACUCAAGCAGAACUAAACACAACAGCACAGACAAACUACGCUAUUAUAGAGUUAAACAUUAGGCUAAACUCAUUAGCAUGUUUUAAGAUUAAGCAUGACUGGCUAAAAACAUUUGACAUUAAGUCCAUUAGGCUUCUGUUAGGACUCAAAUAAAGAGAG
Ictalurus punctatus (channel catfish) is the source of this 2893-nucleotide long non-coding RNA. NCBI's taxonomy places the organism in Eukaryota, Metazoa, Chordata, Actinopteri, Siluriformes, Ictaluridae. The record is from Ensembl.